AGCAGGAGGAAGAGGAGAAAGGGGGAAGAGUUUGCCUUAUUUCAGAAGUGUCCAGAAGCCAGAGAAAUGGUGUUUGUUGUAGCGGAGGGGAGUCUGAGGCAUCCUCUCUGCCCACCACGUACGGAGCAUUGGGAGAGUAUACAGACCUCUCAACUUUCUCCACAUAUGUUUUGUAAUGGAUUUACCUCUAGCACCAUCAAUCUACACACAAUACCUAAUAAUGAUAUGGAAAUUAAAGACAAUGUACACAAAUAUUCAGACUCUUUGCCAUGACACUCCAUAUUGAACUCCAUUGCGUUCUUUGGUAGUUCUUGAUUUCUCUAGAACCAUGACUGGAGUCAACCUGUGUCAAAUUGUAGUUGAUUGGACAUCACAGUGCAUGUCACUGCAAAAAAAACAUGCCCCUGUCUCUUUCCUUAGACCUCCGGGAUAUAAUUGUGUUGAAACACAGACCUGGGGAAGAUUUUUUUAUUAUAAAGCAUAGAAAGUUCCUAGGAGUGCAGUGAGCAGAAGCACUCCUGAGUAAAAUGCAUAUGGCAUGCCACCUGAAGGACCUAAGAGCAUUAGGGAAAACAAUUAUAAAUGGUCCUGAUGAGACCAUAAUCUAACUAUUAGGCCUGAAUACCAAGAGCUACAUGUGGCAGAAACUACUUACUGCUCAUCACCUGGUUAAUACAUCCCUAUGGUGGUGGGAGCAACAUGCUAUGGGGAUGCUUCUCCGAGGCAGAGAGCGAAAGACUGGUCAGUACUGAGGGAAAGAUGAAAGGAGCAAAAUACAGAGGUCCUUAAAGAAAACCUGAUCCACAGGACCUCAGACUGGGGCGAAGAUUAAUCUGUUGGCAUGACAAUGCCACAAAGAACACUGCUAAGAGUGGGGUGGGUUUGGGGAGGUAUCCGAAUGUCCUUGGUUUGACCAGCCAAUGCCCAGACUUCAACCCUAUUUAACAUCUGUCGGGAGACCUGAAGAUCAUAGUUCACCGACACUCCCCAUUCCCAGCUGACAGAGCUUGAGGGGAUCUAGAUGAAAGAAUGGGAGAAAUUGCCCAAAUGUUUAAAGCUGGUGGAGGCCUAAAAAGACUCAACGGUGUGAUCGCAAAAGCUCUUCUACAAAGUACUGAUUAAAGGGUCUGAAUACUUAUAUAAAUGAGAGAUUUCAAUAAAUAGGUACACAUUUCUAAAAAUGUGUUUGCUUUGUCAUUACAGGGUAUUAUUGUGUGUACAUUGAUCUCCGUCAAAAGGCACUGUACCUGUCGAGAGAGCGGUCUGUAUGGAGAUAGGGGUUUCUGAAGAUAUUGGCCCAGCGCAAAUCCUGUCAGUUAAGGACAGGACUGUGGGAUCAAGGAUAUCUUUGGACUUGAUUUGAAGGCACAUUGUAGCAUUGGUCUGAUUAGACAUAUGUGGCUGAGUGGAUCGAGAUAGCUAGGUGCCUGACUACGGGAGAGGUGGUGUGGUGAAACUGAUGAGCCACGUUGCCUGUGGUUUAGAGUCGCAUAUCUACUGACGCUAUCGGUUGAUUUUGUUUGCUGGUUGACCUUGUCAGAAAAUGCCAGGUGUGUUUGGAGAGAGUGAGCCAUCUUGAGAAUAACUCCAGACAGGAUACACAAGUAUUUAUGACAACCAAUUUCAUUGUUAUGACAGGUUCCACUAAUUUCCAAAUUCUUGAGUGUUUCCUACUAGACCUCAAAUUCUGAUAUUACGUAAGUCAAUUAUUUCCUCAUCCAGGAUGAUGACCCUCAAAGAUGUCCAAGCACAUCAUGGUUAGGGUCAGUACUCUUCAGAUUCAAUCAGUUUUGGAAAAUAAUAGACUUUAGAUUCCUAGGUAGGUUAUAAAAAGAAAUGCCAUCUUUUUCUAUGCAGUUUUUUCAAGUCGCGUUGAAUUUCAUUACCUUCUGAAAUGAUUAAAUUGAAGUGAAAUUGACCCUGACAUAUACCUUUUAUCUUAAGGGUAUCUGUUUGUUUACUCAAUAAUCACUAGUGACAGAAAAUGUUUGCAGAGGAUCAUAUUUGUUUUCCAACAUAAUGUUUUGUUUUUGGAAGUAUCUCUAAUGAAAAAAAAUAAUAAUUUUGUAUUCAUUCAUUAUGCCAGCUGGUCAACAAUUUAUUUUUACGUGGGAAUGCUUCCUUAUGUUUUCUCUUAUCAUUCAAAACUUUUCCUUUUGUCAUUUAAAAUUUUAAGUGGUGUGUAGUGGUGUUUAUCUGCACAUAUAAAACAAUUUUUUUUUGCGUGUAGUAUUUGGUUAAUAACAUUUGUUAGUAUAGACUAGAUGUGAACCAUUUGCCUCGACUCAAGAUUCAGAUACGUUCCAAUUUUGUCCCCCUCUAGUGCCAAACCUAUUGUCGCAUGGAACAUCCAAUCAAAACUAUUCUGAUUUGUCUUUUAUUUAAUUUGAUCAAUGAGAAAAGCAUUAUCGAUCAAAAUCUUUGGACUGACUUGGUCAGGUAGAUUGCUUUGUUCAUCCGAUUGUAACAGUAAACGUCUGAUAGUUGUCAUAUUUUACAUUUCAAUAUUGUGGUAGAAUAUGACGAUAGAGGCCUUAUGUCUUUCCUAGCUUGUCUUCUUGGAAUAUUGACUCUUUAGUUCUGUCAAAGGAUUUUACUUUUGGUAAAUGUAGUGUGUUGUACUUUUGCAUAUCAAAGUGUUUGUGAGGAUGUUCUGUUUUGGAAUUCUAAGCUGUAUUUUUGACUGACGUAAAUAAAACCAAUUCAUCCAAAGUCA
Long non-coding RNA from Esox lucius (northern pike), 2716 nucleotides. RefSeq lists it as uncharacterized. NCBI's taxonomy places the organism in Eukaryota, Metazoa, Chordata, Actinopteri, Esociformes, Esocidae. The transcript is spliced from 2 exons. The record is from RefSeq and is a predicted model, not a curated record.